AAAGAAAAAUGCAAAAAGGAAUUAGAAAUGCAUUAAAAUGCAAACAUUAUUAAAUCAACUAAUUUCUCAAAUCAACGUCUCUUUUUAGAUCCAUGCACAGAUGAACUCUUCCAUGUGUAGUUCUGUCCUGGUUGCUUGGCAGGAAAGGUCAUUCAUUACCUUCAAGGAUCAGAUGUUGUGAGAUUACUUUCAAUUAUGGGCAAUGAAUAUUGGAGUUGCCAUGAACUCACAAAACAAGGGAUGAGCAAAUGCAAAGGAAUGGCAUUUGUGUCUGGCACAUUGGCUGGUUUCUGAGAACUUUGGUUUGAACGACUGAGGAAUCACUGUUGGAAUCAUGACGGAGACGCACAGAGACGAUGGGGACUGAUGAAAGGGGGAGUGCUUCAUGUGGACUGCUGGAGGGAAAAGCACACUGAUGUUUCUAACACUCAUCUGGCUGGAGGAGAAGAGUGAUCUCUUAUUAAGUGAAAAAAAUUGGCUUUCAGUACAUAUCAUUUGGCUGAUGCUGGCAUGAAAAAGCUAAGAAACAUUAUAUCAAGAACAAUCCAGCAUGGAUUUAUUUAUGCUAAAAUAUGAUGAAAGCAAGACACUGGUUGCUAUGCAGAAGUCAGAGUUUCCAGCAGAUACUGCAUUGUAGCAUUUUGAAUGCCAGGGUUUUCCUUGUAGAAACCAUAUAAGGAAAUAACUAGGUCCAUGAUGUAGUAACAAUAGUAAACUAGUGAUCAGAUACCAGUGAUCACUGUGAACAUUAAGAUACUAUUAACAUAGAAAAAUUAAACCAUAGUGAACUUAACUAGCGGCAUUAGAUCCUAUGAUUAUGGUUAAAUACAAAGAAUUAAAACUGUGAUUACCAGAAAGCCUGUCUAACUAAAGAAGACCAGAGAUGAAAUAAUUGUCAACCAUUACCUUUAUAGACAGGGUAAUGCCAUUUUCCUUGAUCAGCUGAUAUCUGCUUCGCUUACUUGUCUGAAAGAAGAGAAGAGAUUUUCCAUUAAAUUCCUAAAGUUUAUUAUAAUGCAUUUUUAAAUUUUCAUUUUUCCUUAUAUUAAAAAUAUUGCUACUCUAUUGAAGCAUUAUAAGCUGCUAUUACAGUUUCUGAUAGUGUUUCCACUCUGGUUAAUCAUAUUUGAGGUCCUAGCAGUGAAAUGAAGUACACUGUAGUUGACUCAUUUUUCUAAUAUAUUAUAUACUGACUGAUUCUGACAUAGUGUUCAGCUAUCCAAAAACUAUUUUACCUUACUACUCUAGGUAAUAUGCUGCUAAUUGUCUUUGGAUGCUUAAUGUUCUCCAAAUAUGCAUAUUCUCAACAAUGACAACUUAAAUAAAUCUAUAUUACUAGUAGUACCA
Molecule: long non-coding RNA, 1347 nt
Filed under: Crocodylus porosus (Australian saltwater crocodile)
Lineage: Eukaryota; Metazoa; Chordata; Crocodylia; Crocodylidae
Description: lncRNA (ENSCPRG00005004121.1)
Source: RNAcentral